UACGUAGGGUGCAAGCGUUGUCCGGAAUUAUUGGGCGUAAAGAGCUCGUAGGCGGUCUGUCGCGUCGGAUGUGAAAAUCCAGGGCUUAACCCUGGACCUGCAUUCGAUACGGGCAGACUAGAGUUCGGUAGGGGAGACUGGAAUUCCUGGUGUAGCGGUGAAAUGCGCAGAUAUCAGGAGGAACACCGGUGGCGAAGGCGGGUCUCUGGGCCGAUACUGACGCUGAGGCGCGACAGCGUGGGGAGCAAACAGG
Molecule: ribosomal RNA, 253 nt
Filed under: uncultured bacterium
Lineage: Bacteria
Description: partial 16S ribosomal RNA
Rfam family: Bacterial small subunit ribosomal RNA
Source: RNAcentral